AUUGAACGCUGGCGGCAGGCUUAACACAUGCAAGUCGAGCGGGGGAAGGUAGCUUGCUACCGGACCUAGCGGCGGACGGGUGAGUAAUGCUUAGGAAUCUGCCUAUUAGUGGGGGACAACAUCUCGAAAGGGAUGCUAAUACCGCAUACGUCCUACGGGAGAAAGCAGGGGAUCUUCGGACCUUGCGCUAAUAGAUGAGCCUAAGUCGGAUUAGCUAGUUGGUGGGGUAAAGGCCUACCAAGGCGACGAUCUGUAGCGGGUCUGAGAGGAUGAUCCGCCCAACUGGGACUGAGACACGGCCCAGACUCCUACGGGAGGCAGCAGUGGGGAAUAUUGGGCAAUGGGGGGAACCCUGAUCCAGCCAUGCCGCGUGUGUGAAGAGGGCCUUAUGGUUGUAAAGCACUUUAAGCGAGGAGGAGGCUACUCUAGUUAAUACCUAGGGAUAGUGGACGUUACUCGCAGAAUAAGCACCGGCUAACUCUGUGCCAGCCGCCGCGGUAA
This 501-nucleotide ribosomal RNA is filed under the name uncultured bacterium. RNAcentral's name for it is "partial 16S ribosomal RNA". It matches the Rfam family "Bacterial small subunit ribosomal RNA", at positions 30 to 523 of the family's 1533-position model. The record is from RNAcentral.